This 260-nucleotide unclassified non-coding RNA is filed under the name Hevea brasiliensis (rubber tree). Lineage: Eukaryota; Viridiplantae; Streptophyta; Magnoliopsida; Malpighiales; Euphorbiaceae. The record is from RNAcentral.
GGAAACAUCGAGAUGUUGAACCUUAUUCUUUCCAAAGGUGUUGAUGUAGAUGCACAAAGUGAUGCUGGCACUCCAUUAGUUUGGGCUGCUGGUCAUGGACAACCGGAUGCAGUGAAAGUUUUAUUAGAACACCAUGCUAAUCCAAAUGCGGAAACUGAUGAUGGCAUUACUCCAUUGUUGUCAGCUGUGGCUGCUGGAUCAGUGCCGUGCUUGGAACUGCUGAUUCAGGCAGGAGCUAAUCCAAAUGUUACUGCUAGCGG